RNAcentral lists this small nuclear RNA (155 nucleotides) under Bursaphelenchus xylophilus (pine wood nematode). RNAcentral describes it as "U1 spliceosomal RNA". It matches the Rfam family "U1 spliceosomal RNA". From Rfam's summary of the family: U1 is a small nuclear RNA (snRNA) component of the spliceosome (involved in pre-mRNA splicing). Its 5' end forms complementary base pairs with the 5' splice junction, thus defining the 5' donor site of an intron. Lineage: Eukaryota; Metazoa; Nematoda; Chromadorea; Rhabditida; Aphelenchoididae. The record is from Rfam by way of RNAcentral.
AAACUUACCUGGCUGGGAGAGCGGCACGAUCAAGAAGGUGUCGCCUCCACGGUGAGGCCCUCCCAUUGCACUUUGGGGUGGGUUGACCUGUGUGACAACUCCGAGUCGGGGUUGGCCAACAGCUAAAUUUUUGCGUGUGGGGUCCACGGACCUCU